UACCUGCAGCUCUAGUGGUGGCCGCUAUUAUUGGGCCUAAAACGUCCGUAGCCGGUUUGGUAAAUGCCUGGGUAAAUCGUGUAGCUUAACUAUACGAAUUCUUGGUAGACUACCAAACUUGAGACCGGGAGAGGCUAGAGGUACUCUUGGGGUAGAGGUGAAAUUCUGUAAUCCUGAGGGGACCACCAGUGGCGAAGGCGUCUAGCUAGAACGGGUCUGACGGUGAGGGACGAAGCCCUGGGGCACAAACCGGAUUAGAUACCCCCGUA
RNAcentral lists this ribosomal RNA (269 nucleotides) under uncultured prokaryote. RNAcentral's name for it is "partial 16S ribosomal RNA". It matches the Rfam family "Archaeal small subunit ribosomal RNA", at positions 474 to 743 of the family's 1478-position model. The record is from RNAcentral.